CAGAUGACAAGAACACAAGUAAUAUCUUCUUACCAUCAGUGUUACUGACACCACAAGCUGAGAAAAAAAGGCUUGCAGGCAGCUCAGUGUCUCCACCCAUCCUCACAUUUAUAUAGUGUUUUGUCAGUAAGAGCUCACUGUCUUCAUGAUGAUCAUCAUCUCUCUGCUCCUGCUGGCCUCUCUGCUGCCACACCUGACCUUCACCGCUCGUGUGAAUGUGGGUAUAGUGAAUGGCAAAGAAGCAAAACCCCACUCCAGACCUUACAUGGUUUCUCUUCAGAAUCAUUUUAAACAUACCUGUGGUGGAUUCCUCAUCUCUGAUGAGUUUGUCAUGACUGCUGCUCAUUGCUGGAAAGGGUAAGAGUUUUAAUUUUUUUUUGGUUUGUUUUUCAGUCUAAACGGCAAUGUUGAGUUAAAACUGACAAAAUGACUGGAGUACAACAAGACAAUGUUUUGGAUUACAUAAAUACACAUUUCUCUUUCAACAGAUAUCCAGAGUUCUGACGGUUGUGGUUUGGUGCUCAUGACUUCAGGAAGAGUGAGGAUUCAUACCGUGUCGAAGUGAAGUCUUACAUCUCACAUCCACACUAUACAUUCUGUUCGCGUCAGAAUGACAUCAUGCUUUUGAGGCUACAGGAAAAGGUCAAACCAAAUAACUAUGUUAACUGGAUAUCAUUACCGAAGGAAGGAGAUGUUAGUGGAGGCACUCUCUGUAGUGUUGCAGGCUGGGGAAGAAAGGAGAUUAAUGACAUAUUGAGCAAUCGGCUACUGGAGGCAAACACGACUACAGAAAACCACGAAGAGUGUCAACGUAAAUGGGAAUCCAAGUUUUGGCCUCGCAGAUGAUCUGUGCACAUGGUCGUGGAGGAUCCUGCAAGAGGAGAUUCAGGAGGUCCUUUGGUUUGUGGAAACACUGCAGUUGGUGUGACAUGUUUUGGGUCCAGAAUAAAAUGCAAUUCAGCUGUGCAUCCUAAUGUCUAUACUAAGAUUUCAGCAUAUCUUCCAUGGAUUCACCAAAUUAUUAGAAAUAUUAAGUGAAUUAAUAAAAAAUUAAAGGAAGAUUUUAUUUUUUUUUUAAUUAUUGUGAAAACUCUCAAUAAAAAUGUCAAAUGGCAAUCAAUCAGUUGAAGUGUCCUCAUUGUCACAAUCAUAUAUAAAAAUGUCCAAGAAGUCCAAAGUUAUUUCAAAUUAGUUCACUUGGUUGCCAUCUUGGUGAUGCUAUUUCCAGUCGAAACAAAACAAAAU
RNAcentral lists this long non-coding RNA (1245 nucleotides) under Carassius auratus (goldfish). RNAcentral's name for it is "lncRNA (ENSCARG00000048192.1)". The record is from RNAcentral. Lineage: Eukaryota; Metazoa; Chordata; Actinopteri; Cypriniformes; Cyprinidae.